Molecule: transfer RNA, 82 nt
Filed under: Alistipes finegoldii
Lineage: Bacteria; Pseudomonadati; Bacteroidota; Bacteroidia; Bacteroidales; Rikenellaceae
Description: tRNA-Glu(ttc)
Source: RNAcentral
GUUUCCGUAGUGAAGGAUUUCGCGACAGUUUCGUUGCCGCAGUUCGAUGGGAAUGGCGUGCGUGCGAAACUCCCCGGCAAAU